Molecule: ribosomal RNA, 465 nt
Filed under: Vreelandella stevensii
Lineage: Bacteria; Pseudomonadati; Pseudomonadota; Gammaproteobacteria; Oceanospirillales; Halomonadaceae
Description: partial 16S ribosomal RNA
Rfam family: Bacterial small subunit ribosomal RNA
Source: RNAcentral
CCUACGGGAGGCUGCAGUGGGGAAUAUUGGACAAUGGGGGCAACCCUGAUCCAGCCAUGCCGCGUGUGUGAAGAAGGCCCUCGGGUUGUAAAGCACUUUCAGUGAGGAAGAACGCCUGGUGGUUAAUACCCAUCAGGAAAGACAUCACUCACAGAAGAAGCACCGGCUAACUCCGUGCCAGCAGCCGCGGUAAUACGGAGGGUGCGAGCGUUAAUCGGAAUUACUGGGCGUAAAGCGCGCGUAGGUGGCUUGAUAAGCCGGUUGUGAAAGCCCCGGGCUCAACCUGGGAACGGCAUCCGGAACUGUCAAGCUAGAGUGCAGGAGAGGAAGGUAGAAUUCCCGGUGUAGCGGUAAAAUGCGUAGAGAUCGGGAGGAAUACCAGUGGCGAAGGCGGCCUUCUGGACUGACACUGACACUGAGGUGCGAAAGCGUGGGUAGCAAACAGGAUUAGAUACCCCAGUAGUC